Molecule: RNA transcript, 3382 nt
Organism: Capsicum annuum
Lineage: Eukaryota; Viridiplantae; Streptophyta; Magnoliopsida; Solanales; Solanaceae
Gene name: malonyl-CoA decarboxylase, mitochondrial
Exons: 14
Source: RefSeq, a predicted model, not a curated record
ACGAGAGUGCCACGUAAAAUUGGAGGGAGAGCAAUUUGUUUGUUGCUUGCUUAAGCAGUGGCACGUCGUCGUUUUGGAAAUUGCCGAGAAUUUCUUUUGGUUAGUGGCAACUGCUAAAUCCAAAUCAUCAAGAGACAGAACCAAAUUUGAUUUGUCUGUGUCACCAGAAAAAGUGUAAUGAUGAACAAGAAAGGUCUGGCCAUUCUUAUGCGAACCAAAACGCGUCCUCUUUCCCCUGUCUCCAGCAAAUUGAAUCAAAUGCAAGCCUCUCUACCAGAAGGUGAUAAAGUUUCUUCUCAGGAUGCGUCACUUAUUCCACGAAGAGACUUCAGCCAAGUACGGGAGUCAAUGCACUCUGCCAUGUUGACGAACAAGACAGAAAUUGUGGACGUUGCUCUGGAUGACUUUUCAGAGGGAUACAUUUUCCUUUCCCCAGAAAAUCGUUAUAAGAUACUUCUUUCACUAUCUAAAGAGUAUGAUCUCAAUCGGACCCAAGUUCGCGAGUUAAUGAAGCAGCAUCUUGAUCUUCAGCUCCCAAGUGAUAAGGCUGAAGAUAAUGAUCACGAAGAGGAAGGAUCAUUAUCAGCUUUCUACAAGAUUGAGCGGAAUUUGUGCCAGGCUCUCAAGCCUAUGUAUGAGGUUCUUUUUGAGAGGCUCAAUACGCAUCCUGGGGGACUGAAGUUCCUGUCUGAUAUUAGAGCUGAUAUUCUCCGUCUUCUCGAAGACGUAAAUAUAGCAUCUCUGCGAGCAUUGGAUUCCCACCUAAAGGAGAAAUUGAUUACAUGGCUUAGUCCUGCUAAUUUGGAGCUUCACAAUAUUACAUGGGAUGAUCCUGCGUCUUUGUUGGAAAAAAUUGUUGCAUAUGAGGCUGUGCAUCCAAUAAGCAAUCUUAUAGAUCUGAAAAGAAGGCUAGGAAUAGGUCGACGCUGCUUUGGGUACUUCCAUCCAGCAAUACCUGGUGAACCACUUAUUUUUAUUGAGGUUGCACUUAUGAAGGAUGUGGCAGCGACCAUACAGGAGGUCUUAUGGGACAAUCCUCCAAUUUCUGAACAUGAGGCUUCUUGUGCAAUAUUUUACUCUAUUUCAUCUACUCAGCCUGGCUUAUCAGGAGUCAACCUGGGGAAGUUUCUAAUCAAACGUGUGGUUGAAGUGGUGAAAAAAGAUAUGCCCAAUAUCUGCGUAUUCGCUACUCUUAGUCCCAUCCCUGGUUAUGGGCAAUGGCUGUUAUCAAAAUUGGCUUCGUCAGAGAUGUCCGGUUCUGUCUUCAAAGAAAAAUUGCUUAAACCGGAAGAAGAAAAGGCACUUAUGGAUGCAUCAGGAGGUUCCGACUUGGGAAGCAGUGUCAUUAAAGUAAUGUGGAACUUAUUGACAUCAAAAAACCAUGAGUGGACCAAUUCACCUAAUCUGGUAUCUGCGUUGAGAACCCCUAUGAUGCGACUUUGUGCCAGGUAUGCUAGAGGUACCUUAUGAAAGAAAAAAAGAGAGGAAAAGCUCUAGAUUCGGUUGCAAAUUUCCACUUGCAAAAUGGAGCAAAGAGCCAACAAGAGAGGAGACCUUGACAGAGGUUGAGGGACUUGUGACUUAGGUCAUAGGUUCGAGCCCUGCACCAUGCAAACUACGGCUCUGGUAUUUAAAUGGAGAAGAAUAGAGGGCCAGGUCUGUUAUCUCUGAGUUCCGAAGGCUGAGGUUGGUCCUAAGGGUUGUCCCCAGAUGGAUUUCUCUGUCAUAAAAAGAAAAUGAGAAGAUUUUUGACAAAUACCUGAGGAUAAAUCAAAUGGAUUGCUUAUUCCUCCCUAAACUACAGCCAAAAAGGCCCUGUAACUUUUUCACAUGAUUUUGAUUUAGACGGAUAUCGGGGUCUCUCUCUCUCUGAUUAUGAACUAGGAUAGAGAACUAAUAUCUAGAUGCUGUCUCAAUUUUAAACACGUCCUGGAAAUUCAGUUUUUCCAAGAUUGAAGAACCUAUUUUCACCUGAACCGUAGUGGAAGGAAAGAAUGUGUAUGCUAGGGACUUCAGGGCGUAAGAUGAAUGAACUGCAGUGAUGCCCACACCCUUUUUAGGGUCUGCUCUACCAAGUUGAAGUUGUAAUAGUUGAAAACAAUAACAUAUGGCUGCAAAUUAUCUUGAGAUGUUUAGCCAAAGCAUAAGAACUGAAACAGUGAAACCAAAUUAUGAGAAGAGAAACAUCGUAAGAACAUCAGUUUAUUCAAUUAUUAGAACUAUAGAUGCAUUUACGUAGAAAUUGUUGUAGUAUAAUGAUUUCUGAUAACCAGAUGUGUUUGCAAGUUGGUAUCAGGAAUUAGCUAGUGAGGAAAGGUGCUCCAAAUUUGUGCAAACUGACUUUUCUUCCAUUCAAAAGCUUUGUUAAGUUGAGAUUUGAUGUUUUGUUCAUCUGUAGAAGCUUGUGUACAGAGUUUAGCUUACAGCAUUUUCUACUUUUUUUUAUUGGAUAAUCUUCCUGGUCUUUUGAAGCGGAUGUUAUCAUUACGCCAUGAGACAUGAACAUUUCUUUUUCCUUUUUGUGCAUGGAAUGAAAAAUCACAUCAAGCCCCUCUGCAUUUAUUGUCAGUAUUAUAAACGCAGAGUAAGUGCUUUUAUUGUCAGUAUUAUAAACGCAGAGUAAGUGCUGGACAAAAUUAUCUUAGUGAAGAACGCAUACUACGUUUUAAAUAGAGUUACAAAGAAAAUAAGAAGACUCCAAGACAAACACUACUAAUGUAAUAUAAAUAAACAAUGACUGCCGAAGGCAGUAUCCUAAAUAAAGUAGAAUUACAAAGUAGAAUUGCUGAACAAUAAUAUUGACUAAACUAAACUAUGAACUAAUAACCGAACUAACUAAUUGGAUUGUUGCCAAGGAAUAGGAUAUACUCAGAUGUGGAAACUCUGUCUGUAAUGUUCCGACCCCAAUCUGCAUCAGAGUAUACAUGUAGAUUGAAGUCCUUAAUGGGAGUUACACGUAAGCCUAGUUAGAUGGUGCCAUGCAGGUAGCAGAGAACACACUUCACAGCUUUCCAGUGAAGGUCUGGCGGUGUUUGCAUAAACUAGACAAUUUAUUCACUACAUAGGCAAUGUCCGGUCUAGUGAAAGAUAGGUGUUGAAGCCUUCCUAAAACUCGAAGAUAGCGUGUCGCAUCAGUCAAGUGAGUACCAUCGGACAAAGUGAGCAACUUAGUUGCACUAUUGGCGUGGGAACACUUUUGCAGUCGGUCAUUAACUCAUCAUUCAGGAUAUCAUUCACAUAGUUUGCUUGGGUGAGAAUUAAACCAUUAGAGUUGCGCAUCACUUCAACACCAAGAAAGUAGUGAAGAUUCCCCAAAUCUUUAAUUGAGAAUUUAGCGGCGAGGGAAGCGAUAACCUGAUCGGCACUUGACGUGUUGCUCCCA